Molecule: microRNA precursor, 66 nt
Filed under: Daphnia magna
Lineage: Eukaryota; Metazoa; Arthropoda; Branchiopoda; Diplostraca; Daphniidae
Description: Dma-Mir-22-P2_pre stem-loop
Source: RNAcentral
CGGUCCUUCCCGGGGCACCUUGCCGUUAGGUAGUUGAGCAAGCGAGCUGCCCAGUGAAGGGCUUUC